GAUGAACGCUAGCGAUAGGCUUAACACAUGCAAGUCGAGGGGCAGCAUGGUCUUAGCUUGCUAAGACUGAUGGCGACCGGCGCACGGGUGCGUAACGCGUAUGCAACUUGCCUCACAGAGGGGGAUAACCCGUCGAAAGACGGACUAAUACCGCGUACACUCCAUCUUGGGCAUCCAAGGUAGAGGAAAUGAAAUUCGCUGUGAGAUAGGCAUGCGUCCCAUUAGCUAGUUGGUGAGGUAACGGCUCACCAAGGCGACGAUGGGUAGGGGAACUGAGAGGUUGAACCCCCACACUGGUACUGAGACACGGACCAGACUCCUACGGGAGGCAGCAGUGAGGAAUAUUGGUCAAUGGGCGAGAGCCUGAACCAGCCAAGUCGCGUGAAGGAUGACUGUCUUAUGGAUUGUAAACUUCUUUGAGAACGGGAAUAACAAGAUU
RNAcentral lists this ribosomal RNA (439 nucleotides) under Porphyromonas sp. oral taxon 279. Its description in RNAcentral is "bacterial SSU rRNA". It matches the Rfam family "Bacterial small subunit ribosomal RNA", at positions 28 to 456 of the family's 1533-position model. Lineage: Bacteria; Pseudomonadati; Bacteroidota; Bacteroidia; Bacteroidales; Porphyromonadaceae. The record is from RNAcentral.